GAUGAAGAACGUAGCGAAAUGCGAUAAGUAAUGUGAAUUGCAGAAUUCAGUGAAUCAUCGAAUCUUUGAACGCACAUUGCGCCCGCCAGCAUUCUGGCGGGCAUGCCUGUUCGAGCGUCAUUUCAACCCUCGAGCCCCCCCGGGGGCCUCGGUGUUGGGGGACGGCACACCAGCCGCCCCCGAAAUGCAGUGGCGACCCCGCCUCAGCCUCCCCUGCGUAGUAGCACACACCUCGCACCGGAGCGCGGAGGCGGUCACGCCGUAAAACGCCCAACUUUCUUAGAGUUGACCUCGGAUCAGGUAGGAAUACCCGCUGAACUUAAGCAUAUCAAUAAGCGGAGGA
Molecule: unclassified non-coding RNA, 343 nt
Filed under: soil metagenome
Description: partial contains 5.8S ribosomal RNA, internal transcribed spacer 2, and large subunit ribosomal RNA
Rfam family: 5.8S ribosomal RNA (bases 1-120)
Source: RNAcentral